AUCACUUCUCAGCUUUUUGGCUGAGAUAAUGUGUAGUAUCUGUUCUUACCAUUUUAAUGUCUGAUAACAUCCUCUAUCCAAGGACAAUAUAGUAAAUGGAUUUUUGGAGCAGAGAGAUGGAAUAGGAGCUUGCUCCAUCCAUACAAGCAUCGACCUUGUACCGUAGCAUCUCCAGGAAUGGUGCACCCCCU
Ailuropoda melanoleuca (giant panda) is the source of this 191-nucleotide small nuclear RNA. Its record names the gene U2. It matches the Rfam family "U2 spliceosomal RNA". From Rfam's summary of the family: U2 is a small nuclear RNA (snRNA) component of the spliceosome (involved in pre-mRNA splicing). Complementary binding between U2 snRNA (in an area lying towards the 5' end but 3' to hairpin I) and the branchpoint sequence (BPS) of the intron results the bulging out of an unpaired adenosine, on the BPS, which initiates a nucleophilic attack at the intronic 5' splice site, thus starting the first of two transesterification reactions that mediate splicing. The record is from Ensembl. NCBI's taxonomy places the organism in Eukaryota, Metazoa, Chordata, Mammalia, Carnivora, Ursidae.